This 305-nucleotide ribosomal RNA is filed under the name uncultured bacterium. Its description in RNAcentral is "bacterial SSU rRNA". It matches the Rfam family "Bacterial small subunit ribosomal RNA", at positions 337 to 639 of the family's 1533-position model. The record is from RNAcentral.
ACCUACGGGAGGCAGCAGUGAGGAAUAUUGGUCAAUGGGCUUACGCCUGAACCAGCCAAGUCGCGUGAGGGAAGACUGCCCUAUGGGUUGUAAACCUCUUUUGUCAGGGAGCAACGCCGGCUACGUGUAGCCGGACUGAGAGUACCUGAAGAAAAAGCAUCGGCUAACUCCGUGCCAGCAGCCGCGGUAAUACGGAGGAUGCGAGCGUUAUCCGGAUUUAUUGGGUUUAAAGGGUGCGUAGGCGGGCUGUUAAGUCAGCGGUCAAAUGUCGGGGCUCAACCCCGGCCUGCCGUUGAAACUGGCGG